CAGUCACAAAAAGCAUCUAUCAACAAAAGCUGAAGUUCCCUGCAGCGGGAAAAGUAGAGAAGGAUAUAAACUUUUGCAUAUUGUGUGUAGAAAGACUGUAAGUCAGGUCAAACAAAGCUCUGAGGAACGACUAGCAAAAGGAAUCCAAACUCACAUUAGAUCUUUCUGGAAACAUGUCAGGAACCUGGCAGUGGUUCUGAAGGACGAUCUGUGGGGGGGCUGUGUGAGGACCCCACGGGGGAGGUAAGGCCACUGCAGACAUCUCUGCACCUGUGUGAAGUGCUGAGUGGCAAGACCAAGGUGCAGAACCUAUUCUUCAGCGGGGUGGGGUGCGCCAGCUGGAGCAGCGGUGGAAAAGGCUGAUCACACUGACAAAGCGAACAGUAGCAGCUUGCUGGGAGCAGUGGCUUUUGUCCAAGAGUCUUAAAGGAACUGAAGGAAAAAAUAGCUGAGCUGCUCCAAGCAGUGUGUAACCCGCGCUUACCACCGCCGUGGUACCUGAGGAGGGGGAAGUGAUGAACGUGAUGCCAGUUUGUAAAGACUCUGCAUGGGCUCAAGGGGGGAGUAGACAGCUUAAUGGAAAAUAAACCUGCACAGGGUGACUAACCCACAGAAACCACAUCCCGUCAGGAAGCCCCUGACCUGGAAGUGUUUGAAGGCGGGAGGAGUAUUAAUGAGAAGUUGGACACGUUUGCCUUGUUCAUCCUGAGCUCUCCCUGAGAAGGGGAGAGGAGGAGGCUGGAGGAGGAGAAGCCAGGGGGAAAUCAAAUGCUUGUGGUGAGGAAUGAGUGAAGAGGGGGAGAGGAUAAGGUAAAAACAUAACCCAGAAACUUACGAGGGGUCACAGAGCACAGCAUCUGCAGCAGUACCCACUGCUUCCUGAAGGCAUCUGAGGGUACCAGGUGGUGGGUGAUGCCCUGUGAUCCUCUGCAUAGAGUAGCUGCACGAGGGAAUAGAAACAGGCUGUGCAAUCACCAGGAAGACCCCUGCAGUCAAACAUCCUCCUCCCAGAGCUGCAGGGGGACACUUUGGUCAGGGGAAGGUGCUGCAAGAGGUUCUGGGACUUGUGUGGGCUUCAGACGAAGAUUGCAUGAAUAAAAAGACGAGAGAACAGCUUGAAAAAAAUAGCCUGGCCUUUACUUGAAGACCUUGAGAGACAGUCUACCACUUUCACUGACAGAUGGCUAGGACAACCAUCCUGCUGGUUACGGUGCCCCCCAUACUCUGUAUUUUCUGGGGUGUGACUGAGAGGUACCUGGCCAGUAAUGCCUCGGGGUGCCCCUGUAAGGUGUUUUUCUGACCUUCUGAAUUGGUCCCGGCAUUUUGCUCUGGACCACCUCCAAGCUUUCAAGAAAAUACCCCCCCGGUGUGGGUGCCUGCGCUGCUGAUGGGCAUUGCAGCUUCAGGCUUUGCUGGACUUCCAGCUCAGAGCUGGCAAUCACAGGUGACAGUGACUUCUCCAGUGGUGGCCAGUGAAGUUCCUGCUCUCGGCAGCUUGUCCUGGCUGCCCAGGAGGCAGCUGUCACAGACCAAUCGUUCCCGGGGGCGCCUGAAGCCAGCAGGCAGUACCGAAACCUUCCGUGAGUCCUGCUCUGCAGCACCAACCUCCUCCUGCCCUGGCACCCAGGGUCCCUUGGAGCUCCUGUGCCUGGGUCCCAGCUGGUUCCCCCGUGUGGGGCUGAGCCCACCCGUCCAGCGGCCGUGGGGUCACACCGUAGGCUCGGCUGCCCGGCUCGCUGCGGGACGUGCGCGGGCAGGAGCGGCCCCUGGGACUGACUAUUGACCCGUAACGCCUCAGAAAUGAAGAGGAAAUGGUACAAGCCCGAAGUGCCUCCACCGGCAGCUGCGCCCUGCCCCUGGUCACUCUUCGGUGUUCCCACAGGUCGGGCAACCUGGUGGGGCUUGGGAGCCAGCAGCCCUGCAGCGGCGGUGGCCCUGCCUGAGGAGGCUCCGUGGCCUUGGCCAGCGCCUUGUCCUGUCCGGGCGCAUCCAGCUGGCCGGGGCUGAUGCUGGCCUGAGGGGCUCCCUCCGCUUCAGCCACUGGUCUCGCCCUCUGCAAGUUUUGCCAACAGCAUUUCUUACAGCUGUAUCUCCUGAUGCCUCUACUGAACAGCACGGCUCUGGCAGAGGCCCACACUUUCAGCAGUGAUCGCUGCUUCUUGUUGGAGAAGGAACGUUUGCCAUUUGUCUGUCUUCUAGUAAUUAAUCCAUAUAAUGUGAAUGAUGAUGUAUACACACAUGACUAUUUUUCCUUCAGAAUUUACAGAUUUCUUGGUUUGUUAAAUCUCCACCUGUGCUUUUAUCAGCUGAAUGUAUUAUUUCGUCAAAGAAUGAGGUCAGGUUUGUUUCUCACAACAUUUUUUUCUUUUGAAACAUACUAAAUAAUUAACAUUG
Molecule: long non-coding RNA, 2394 nt
Organism: Falco peregrinus (peregrine falcon)
Lineage: Eukaryota; Metazoa; Chordata; Aves; Falconiformes; Falconidae
Exons: 3
Source: RefSeq, a predicted model, not a curated record